AAUGUAGUCAGGAUAAGCAAGGGACCUCAUGGCCACCCAUACAAUUUCAGCUCCUCCUCUUAGCCAGACCAAGGAUGGGAGGAGACAGGGAAGUCAGAAGAGUCUCACGGCUGCUUAACACUGCAAUUUACACAACCUGCCUUACAGCCAUAGCUGUGUGUCCCAGGACCUACCACUGGACCUAUGAUAGGCUCUCUGCUCUGCUUCUCAAGCUCUGGGAUUAAAGGAACCACCU
This is a long non-coding RNA of Mastomys coucha (southern multimammate mouse), 235 nucleotides long. RefSeq lists it as uncharacterized. The transcript is spliced from 2 exons. The record is from RefSeq and is a predicted model, not a curated record. Lineage: Eukaryota; Metazoa; Chordata; Mammalia; Rodentia; Muridae.